This 4324-nucleotide long non-coding RNA is filed under the name Homo sapiens (human). Lineage: Eukaryota; Metazoa; Chordata; Mammalia; Primates; Hominidae. The record is from RNAcentral.
GCCCCCGGCGCCGGCACGCGGACCCGAACGAGGCGACAAGGUCGGUCCUCCCCCGCCGGGCCUUCCCCGCGCUCCCCGGCGCCCCCAGCCCGCUGACCCCCGGCCAGGCAGGCCCGCGGGGGAGGCAGGACCGGAGCCCUGAGGCCCUGGCCGGCCUCGGGGUUGAGGCUCAGCUCGGGAUAAGUGAUCUUUGGGGCCCGCAGAGGACGUCUCCCCAAGACCCAGUGGCAACCGGGGCACCACUGAGUUCAGUACUUCAAAAUUGCCGUGCUCUACCUCUCCCCAGUGCACAAAAACACUCUCCACACCAAGCUGCUGCUGCUGGGGGAUGGAGGGAUGGCGUCAGCGAUUCAAGACUGUUUUUCCUACCUGUUCAGCACUUCUUUCAGCGAUAUGAAGUUAAAUCCAGGCCAAGUUCCCACCUGGUGGGAAGCACUGUGCAGGUUCGUGGGGAUGCAGCCCUGCACAGCCCAGACUGGACUCCUUCCCCAUGGAACUCACAACACACGGGAGAGGCAGAGAGAUCCAAGCGCACAGAAAAACACAAGAAGAUUCAGCCCUGUCAUCUUGUGCAAAGUGCACGCGAAGGCCUCAACCAUCUGGAGAACACCUGCUGCAACAGAGUCACACAGGCUAGAGUGCAGUGGCAUGAUCUCAGCUCCCCACAACCUCUGCCUCCGAUGUUCAAGCGAUUCUCCUGUCUCAGCCUCCUGAGUAGCUGGAAUUACAGGUUUUCUAUAAAUGUCUGCUGUGGACUGAACUGAUGGAAUAAGCAUCCAAAAGGAAUGCCACCGGCUGAAAUGCUGACCCUCAUCACCAAGAUAAAACAUUGCAGGGAUGCAUGAAAAUUACAUUUGGGGAGUAAAUAGGCAGCCCAAGUACAGAGUGAAGAAGACCUGCUUAGAGGUGGCACACAUGAAAACAACUCAAAGGUUUACUUGCCCAUCUGAAUAUUCAUCCAUCCAUCCAUCCAUCCAUCCAUCCAUCCAUCCAUCCAUCCAUCCAACCAUCCAACCCCCUCUUGCCCUCAGAAGUUUAACCACCAGGAUUGAGCCCCUCUGUGUCCCAUGCCAACCUCCUAAGGUCAGAUGGGUUGGCUGUGCCCACUGUGUAAGAGGGGGUAGGCCAGGUUCAGGGAGGACACACAGACAAUUCCUCACCCCUCCACCCCCAUUCCCUGCUGGUCAGACCAGUUCCAGGGAUCAGUAUUUAAUACCUGGCCCUCAGAAUGGGAGGGAGAUGGCAAUGUGUGUGUGCGUGUGUGUGUGUUUCUUCAGGAACACCUUUUUUUUUUUUUGAGAUGGAAUCUCGCUCAGUCGCCCAUGCUGGAGUGCAGUGGCACAAUCUCAGAUCGCUGCAACCUCCGCCUCCCCAGUUCAAGCAAUUCUCCUGCCUCAGCCUCCUGAGUAGCUGGGACUACAGGUGCCCACCACCAUGCCCAGCUAAUUUGUGUAUUUUUAGUAGAGAUGGGGUUUCCCAUAUUGGCCAGGCUGGUCUCAAACUCCUGACCUUGUGAUCUGCCCACCUUGGCCUCCGAAAGUGCUGGGAUUACAGGUGUGAGCCACUGUGCCCGGCCCAGGGACUUUUCUUUAAAAAUAGACUUACAUUUAUUUUUUAUUUUUUAUUUUAUUUUUGAGAUGAAGUUUUACUCUUGUUGCCAAGGCUGGAGUGCAAUGGUGCGACCUCGGUCCACUGCAACCUCUGCCUCCUGGGAUCUAGCGAUUCUCCGGCCUCAGCCUCCUGAGUAGCUGGGAUUACAGGCACCCACCACCACGCCUGGCUAAUUUUUUGUAUUUUUAGUGGAGAUGGGGUUUCACCAUGUUGGCCAGGCUGGUCUUGAACUCCUGACCUCAGGUGAUCCACCCACCUCGGCCUCCCAAAGUGCUGGGAUUACAGGCGUGAGCCACCCUGACUGGGUAACAGACUUUUUUUUUUUUUAAAAGAGCAAUUUUAGGCUCACAAUCAGAUUGAGUGGAAGGUACAGACAGUCUAUGGGAAAUAGACUCCCUACCUCCACAUAGGUAUGGCCUCUCCCACUAUUAAAAAUCCCGUACUAAAAAUAAAAAACAUUCUACACCAGAGGCGUCCAUUUGUGGUAGUUGGUGAACACACACUGACACACUGCGACUGGUCUGUAGGUAAGUGGGGUUGUUUGAUGUUGGUGUGAGGGCUUGCUCUGAGCUGGCCAUUGUGACAAUGCUUUCCCACAGCUACUGAUCAAUGGAGUCAAGACUUGAAACCAGGUUUGCCCGACUCUGAAGCCCAGGCUCCUAACAGCUGUGUUGCUAAGUGGCCUGAUGACGAUAGCAUAGGUUUAAAUAUCUGAAAAAGUGGUUUGGUGAGGAGUAGCCAUCUUCCAAUAUUUGAAGGACUAUCCCAAGAAGGCUAGAUGGAGUUAUUCUGUGUAGCUUCCCAGGGAAAUACCUAGACCAGUGGGUGAAGCGUAGGGGAGGGAAAUUUUGUCCGCAUAGAAGGGUAGCCCUGUGGCAUCAGGGCUUACUUUGAGAGGUAAUGAAUUGCCCAGCACCAGAGGCUGGGCACAUUUGAAGGAAAACCCCUGUCUUGGGGAAGGUUGGGCUUCACCACCUGAAAGGUCUCUUUUAUUUUGAUUUAUUUAUUUUAAGACACAAGAUCUCACUCUGUCGCUUAUCCUGGGGUGCAAUGGUACAAUUAGAACUCACUGCAGCCUCCAACUCCUGGGCUCAAGCGAUCCUCCCACCUCAGCCUCCCAAGUAGCUGGGACCACAGGUGUUCACCACACCUGGAUAAUUUUUUCAUUCUUUGUAGAGAUGCAAGUCUCGCUAUGUCACUCAGGCUAGUUUCAAACUCCCGGUCUCAAGCGAUCCUCCCACCUCAGGUCCCCAAAGUGUUGGGAUUACAGGCAGGAGCCACCACGCCCAGCUAAAAGGCCUCUUUUGACUCUCAUUUUGAUCAGUUCAAUUUGGUUCAGCCUCUGUUGAGCACCCACUCUGUGCUAGCUCUGGGCUGGGUACUGGGGAUGAGUAACACACGAUCCCAGUGCUUGCUUCGGCAGCACAUGUACUAAAAUUGCAACGAUACAGAGACGAUUAGCAUGGCCCUGUGCAAAGAUGACAUGCAAAUUUGUGAAGCAUCACAUUAAAAAAGAAAAAGACAAGAUCCCAGUCCUCAAGGGGCUGCCAGCCUAGGUUGGAAGGCAGCUUGUGCCGUUCUGUUACUUGCUGUCCCUUUUUGCCCUGGAUGCCGUGGGGGCUUUCAGGGAUGAGGGUCCCAGGAGUGUUGCAAAAUGAAAAGAAGCUGGCUACUGAGGGGAUGGUGGGUGUGAGCAGGAGGUCAGGCUGGGGGACCCUGGCCAGCUAGUCUCUGGGUCAGUCAUCCCCAAGGAGGUCUUUACUCACUGUGGAAUGGAAGAGGCCUUCGUUAGGGAUCUUCAGGCCCGUACUCAGGCAGAGAGCGGAGGACUCAAAGAGCACAGGCCCUGCCACCCUCCCCUUCCGCCUCUCCCCGAGGGUCCUCCCUCAUCUGCCUAACGGGGAUAUAGGGGAACUGCCACCUUCCUUCAUGAAGCACAUUCACUUCUCCUAGGUUGACAGCAACAUGGAGCCAGGAGCUCCACUCAGAGAGGGCUAUGGGACCUCCAGCCUGGGCUCUUUCAUAAUCCCUCUUCCCCUUCUGACAGGUGCCCAGGGAACAAGCGCCUAUAGGUGGUCUAAACCCCAAAAACCUGCUUCACGAGGAUUACGGGUGUGGCUCCAUCCUGCCCCCUACUUGCCUCAGGUGGUGACCUCCAUUGCAGUCACUGUCAUCCGGGAUCCCAAGUCUCACAGGUGACGAUGAUGAUGAAUAUGAAAGUGAUGGAUGACAACAAUAAAUAGCAUUGUUCGGCACUCAAACCCUAUGUGUGUUAACUCAUGGAAUAACCCAACUUCCCACCCCUUCAGUCCUAUUUUCCUGUCUCAAGACCCACCUCUUCCUCAUGACUGACACCUGGGGCGGCCUCUUCCUCCACGCUGGCUGUCUAUUGGAAUCUCCUGGGUAGCUUAUUAAAAAUACGCCUGUUAGGGCCAGGUGCGGUGACUUAUGCCUAUAAUCCCAGCACUUUGGAAGGCCGAGGUGGGUGGAUCACAAGUUCAGGAGGUCGAGAUCAUCCUGGCCAACAUGGUGAAACCCUGUCUUUACUAAAAAUACAAAAAAUUAGCUGGGCGUGGUGGCACGUGCCUGUAGUCCCAGCUAUUGGGGAGCCUGAGGUAGGAGAAUCACUUGAACCAGAGAGUCAGAGGUUGCAGUGAGCCGAAAUUGCACCACUGCACUCUAGCCUGGUGAUAGAGUGAGACUUUGUCUUUAA